UACAGAGGUGGCAAGCGUUGUUCGGAAUUACUGGGCGUAAAGGGCGCGUAGGCGGUUCGACAAGUCCCGCGUGAAAGCCCCCGGCUCAACUGGGGAACGGCGCGGGAAACUGUCGGGCUUGAGUUCGGGAGAGGGAAGCGGAAUUCCAGGUGUAGCGGUGAAAUGCGUAGAUAUCUGGAGGAACACCGGUGGCGAAGGCGGCAUCCUGGACCGGUAUUGACGCUGAGGCGCGAAAGCCAGGGGAGCAAACGGG
RNAcentral lists this ribosomal RNA (253 nucleotides) under uncultured bacterium. Its description in RNAcentral is "partial 16S ribosomal RNA". It matches the Rfam family "Bacterial small subunit ribosomal RNA", at positions 524 to 776 of the family's 1533-position model. The record is from RNAcentral.